GUGGCAGACGGGUGAGUAACACGUGAACAACCUACCCUCGAGUGGGGAAUAACACCGCGAAAGCGGUGCUAAUACCGCAUAACAUCCCAGGAUCGCAUGGUUCGGGGAUCAAGGGCGAAAGUCGCUCGGGGAGGGGUUCGCGGCUGAUUAGCUAGUUGGUGAGGUAACGGCCCACCAAGGCAACGAUCAGUAGCCGGCCUGGGAGGGCGUACGGCCACACUGGAACUGGGACACGGUCCAGACUCCUACGGGAGGCAGCAGUGGGGAAUUUUGCGCAAUGGGCGAAAGCCUGACGCAGCAACGCCGCGUGGAGGAUGAAGGUCUUCGGAUCGUAAACUCCUGUCAGUGGGGAAGAAAGUUCCGCAAGGGGCCUGACUGUACCCGCUGAGGAAGCCACGGCCAACUCCGUGCCAGCAGCCGCGGUAAUACGGAGGUGGCAAGCGUUGUUCGGAAUUACUGGGCGUAAAGGGCGCGUAGGCGGCAUGGUAAGUCGGAUGUGAAAUCCCCGGGCUUAACUCGGGAACUGCAUCCGAAACUGCUUUGCUUGAGUCCUGGAGGGGGUAGUGGAAUUCCCAGUGUAGCGGUGAAAUGCGUAGAUAUUGGGAGGAACACCGGUGGCGAAGGCGGCUACCUGGACAGUGACUGACGCUGAGGCGCGAAAGCUAGGGGAGCGAACGGGAUUAGAUACCCCGGUAGUCCUAGCCGUAAACGAUGGGCACUUGGUGUUGGGGGUAUUGAGUCCCUCGGUGCCGGAGUUAACACGUUAAGUGCCCCGCCUGGGGAGUACGGUCGCGAGACUGAAACUCAAAGGAAUUGACGGGGGCCCGCACAAGCGGUGGAGCAUGUGGUUCAAUUCGACGCAACGCGAAGAACCUUACCGGGGCUCGAACGGUAGUUGCUACUCCUGGAAACAGGGGAUUCUCUUCGGAGACGGCUAUCGAGGUGCUGCAUGGCUGUCGUCAGCUCGUGUCGUGAGAUGUUGGGUUAAGUCCCGCAACGAGCGCAACCCUUGCCCUUAGUUGCCAUCAGGUAAAGCCGGGCACCCUAAGGGUACUGUCGGCGAAAAGCCGGAGGAAGGUGGGGAUGACGUCAAGUCCUCAUGGCCCUUAAGUCCCGGGCUACACACGUGCUACAAUGGUCGGAACAAAGGGUCGCCAACCCGCGAGGGGGAGCUAAUCCCAAAAAAACCGAUCUCAGUUCGGAUUGCAGUCUGCAACUCGACUGCAUGAAGUUGGAAUCGCUAGUAAUCGCAGAUCAGCACGCUGCGGUGAAUACGUUCCCGGGCCUUGUACACACCGCCCGUCACAUCACGAAAGUGGGUUGUACUAGAAAUCGCUGGGCUGACCCGCAAGGGGGGCAGGCGCUUAAGGUAUGAUCCAUGAUAGGGGUGAAGUCGUAACAAGGUA
RNAcentral lists this ribosomal RNA (1406 nucleotides) under metagenome. RNAcentral's name for it is "bacterial SSU rRNA". It matches the Rfam family "Bacterial small subunit ribosomal RNA". The record is from RNAcentral.